UGGGGAAUUUUGGACAAUGGGGGAAACCCUGAUCCAGCCAUCCCGCGUGUGCGAUGAAGGCCUUCGGGUUGUAAAGCACUUUUGGCAGGAAAGAAACGUCAUGGGUUAAUACCCCGUGAAACUGACGGUACCUGCAGAAUAAGCACCGGCUAACUACGUGCCAGCAGCCGCGGUAAUACGUAGGGUGCAAGCGUUAAUCGGAAUUACUGGGCGUAAAGCGUGCGCAGGCGGUUCGGAAAGAAAGAUGUGAAAUCCCAGAGCUCAACUUUGGAACUGCAUUUUUAACUACCGGGCUAGGGUGUGUCAGAGGGAGGUGGAAUUCCGCGUGUAGCAGUGAAAUGCGUAGAUAUGCGGAGGAACACCGAUGGCGAAGGCAGCCUCCUGAGAUAACACUGACGCUCAUGCACGAAAGCGUGGGGAGCAAACAGG
This 429-nucleotide ribosomal RNA is filed under the name Acidobacteriota bacterium. RNAcentral describes it as "Acidobacteria bacterium partial 16S ribosomal RNA". It matches the Rfam family "Bacterial small subunit ribosomal RNA", at positions 355 to 776 of the family's 1533-position model. Lineage: Bacteria; Pseudomonadati; Acidobacteriota. The record is from RNAcentral.